AUUGAACGCUGGCGGCAGGCCUAACACAUGCAAGUCGAACGAGUGGCGGACGGGUGAGUAAUGUCUGGGAAACUGCCUGAUGGAGGGGGAUAACUACUGGAAACGGUAGAUAAUACCGCAUACCAUCAGAUGUGCCCAGAUGGGAUUAUCUAGUUGGUGGGGUAAAGGCUCACCAAGGCGACGAUCCCUAGCUGGUCUGAGAGGAUGACCGGCCACACUGGAACGGAGACACGGUCCAGACUCCUACGGGAGGCAGCAGUGGUGAAUAUUGAACAAUGGGCGCAAGCCUGAUGCAGCCAUGCCGCGUGUUUGAAGAAGGCCUUCGGGUUGUAAAGUACUUUCAGCGGGGAGGCGUUACCCGCAGAAGAAGCACCGGCUAACUCCGUGCCAGCAGCCGCGGUAAUAC
RNAcentral lists this ribosomal RNA (406 nucleotides) under uncultured bacterium. RNAcentral's name for it is "partial 16S ribosomal RNA". It matches the Rfam family "Bacterial small subunit ribosomal RNA", at positions 30 to 526 of the family's 1533-position model. The record is from RNAcentral.